UUCGCAAUGCCCGAAAGGGUGACGAAGCGACGUCGCGUGGGUGAUGAAGGCCCUUGGGUCGUAAAACCCUGUCAAGAGUUAAGAAAGCAGCUAGUCUGUUUGACGAAGGCUCUAAAGGAAGUCACGGCUAACUCUGUGCCAGCAGCCGCGGUAAUACAGAGGUGGCAAGCGUUGUUCGGAAUUAUUGGGCGUAAAGAGCACGUAGGUGGAUUUGUAAGUCAGAUGUGAAAGCCUUCUGUUCAACGGGAGAAUUGCAUCUGAAACUACAAACCUUGAGUAUAGGAGGGGAGAAUGGAACUUCUGGUGGAGCGGUGAAAUGCGUAGAUAUCAGAAGGAACGCCGGCGGCGAAAGCGAUUCUCUGGCCUAUUACUGACACUCAGUGUGCGAAAGCUAGGGGAGCAAACGGGAUUAGAUACCCCGGUAGUCCUAGCCGUAAACGAUGGGCACUAAGUAGAGGGGUUUU
This 464-nucleotide ribosomal RNA is filed under the name uncultured bacterium. Its description in RNAcentral is "bacterial SSU rRNA". It matches the Rfam family "Bacterial small subunit ribosomal RNA", at positions 365 to 832 of the family's 1533-position model. The record is from RNAcentral.